GUGGGGAAUAUUGCGCAAUGGGGGAAACCCUGACGCAGCGACGCCGCGUGAGCGAAGAAGGCCUUAGGGUUGUAAAGCUCUGUUUUAAGGGACGAAUGUCGUGGGGAGUAAUAUGCUCUGCGAAUGACGGUACCUUAAGAGGAAGCCCCGGCUAACUACGUGCCAGCAGCCGCGGUAAGACGUAGGGGGCGAGCGUUGUCCGGAAUUACUGGGCGUAAAGAGCACGUAGGCGGGAACUUAAGUCAGGUGUGAAAGACCGGGGCUCAACUGCGGGGUUGCACUUGAAACUGGGUUUCUUGAGGGCAGGAGAGGAAAGCAGAAUUCCUGGUGUAGCGGUGAAAUGCGUAGAAAUCAGGAGGAAUACCAGUGGCGAAGGCGGCUUUCUGGACUGACCCUGACGCUGAGGUGCGAAAGCGUGGGUAGCAAACAGGAUUAGAAACCCGAGUAGUCC
This 451-nucleotide ribosomal RNA is filed under the name uncultured bacterium. Its description in RNAcentral is "partial 16S ribosomal RNA". It matches the Rfam family "Bacterial small subunit ribosomal RNA", at positions 354 to 796 of the family's 1533-position model. The record is from RNAcentral.